CGGGAGGUUGUUCUGGCGGGCGAUCUUGAGGAUGAACUCGGUGAGCACGACGCAGCAGGUGUCGUUGGUGAAGAGCGCCGACGCGAGCGCGGAGACGACGCAGGUGCGGACGAGCAGGUCCUUGCCGCCCUGGCUGCGCCACGAGAGCGCGCGGCCCAGGUGGCGGAACAUGUCGGCGCGCUCCAGGUAGACGCUGACCACCAUGGUGCCGAAGAGCAGGCCGAGGAUGGGCAGGUCGACGGCGGCGUAGGCCUCGUCGGCGGUGAUGACGUUGAAGAGCACCAUGAGCAUGGCCCCCAGCAGCGACCCCGCCGUGCGGCCGAUGGGCAGGAACGGCACCGCCGGGAACACCGCCAGCACCCAGAAGAUGCCGAACGCCGCCGUCCCCAGCGCCACCUUCACCGUCGGCUCCAUCGCCAUUGCCCCCAGCCCCAAGAUCCAAUUUCUCACUCUGCUUCUUCGAUCUCUACACUACCGAAUCUGCAAGAAUCUCCACUCCUCGAGAGUCGAGAUCCGAUUCAAGGAGAGCGACCUACCUAAUUCUCCACCUAGAAAGAAAUCCGAAAACCAAAAUCCGCAAUCUGUGGCCUAGCGGCAGGAUCAAGAUCUGCAACUACAUGGGCGUGCAGCCAGCUACCAACAAGAACAGAGCUGGACAAGAAGCAGAGCUCAGCUCAGCUCCAACCAACUAAUGGUGGGGGCGCAAGCGGCAAUCAUGCAUGCACCAACAGCCAACAGCACGUACCUACGUACCAAUCCAGAAGCCGCCAGCCUCGUCAGCUAGAAGCCUCCAUCUCCAUGGACGGAUGGAUCCACAGCCAGCCGUGAGGGUCACGCUGAGGACGAAGACGAUGACGAGGAGGAGGGAGGAGCUCGCUCG
Molecule: long non-coding RNA, 880 nt
Filed under: Hordeum vulgare
Lineage: Eukaryota; Viridiplantae; Streptophyta; Magnoliopsida; Poales; Poaceae
Description: long non-coding RNA (HVUL_LNC017131)
Source: RNAcentral